GACGAACGCUGGAGGCGUGCUUAACACAUGCAAGUCGAACGAUGAAAUGGAGCUUGCUCCAUGGAUUAGUGGCGAACGGGUGAGUAACACGUGAAUAACCUGCCCUUAAUUUUGGAAUAACCCAGGGAAACCUGAGCUAAUACCGGAUAAGUAAACCUGUCGCAUCACAUGGUUUUGGAAAGGUUUUCGAUUAAGGAUGGAUUCGCGGCCUAUCAGCUUGUUGGUGAGGUAAUGGCGCACCAAGGCGACGACGGGUAGCCGGCCUGAGAGGGUGAACGGCCACACUGGGACUGAGACACGGCCCAGACUCCUACGGGAGGCAGCAGUGGGGAAUAUUGCGCAAUGGACGAAAGUCUGACGCAGCGACGCCUCGUGAGGGACGAAGGUCUGCGGAUUGUAAACCUCUUUCAGCAGGGACGAAGCGAAAGUGACGGUACCUGCAGAAGAAGCACCGGCUAACUACGUGCCAGCAGCCGCCGUAA
Molecule: ribosomal RNA, 482 nt
Filed under: uncultured bacterium
Lineage: Bacteria
Description: partial 16S ribosomal RNA
Rfam family: Bacterial small subunit ribosomal RNA
Source: RNAcentral